CAGCCGCCGCGGUAAUACAGAGGGUGCGAGCGUUAAUCGGAUUUACUGGGCGUAAAGCGUGCGUAGGCGGCUUCUUAAGUCGGAUGUGAAAUCCCUGAGCUUAACUUAGGAAUUGCAUUCGAUACUGGGAAGCUAGAGUAUGGGAGAGGAUGGUAGAAUUUCAGGUGUAGCGGUGAAAUGCGUAGAGAUCUGGAGGAAUACCGAUGGCGAAGGCAGCCAUCUGGCCUAAUACUGACGCUGAGGUACGAAAGCAUGGGGAGCAAACAGGAUUAGAUACCCCCGUAGUCCCUGUCUCUUAUAC
This 301-nucleotide ribosomal RNA is filed under the name uncultured bacterium. RNAcentral describes it as "partial 16S ribosomal RNA". It matches the Rfam family "Bacterial small subunit ribosomal RNA", at positions 509 to 807 of the family's 1533-position model. The record is from RNAcentral.